UACACGUACUGGACAAGAACUCAAAGCUGAACAUGUUUCUUCGCCUUCACCGUUGACAAAAGAAUUCUUUAUGGACAUGGCAGAUGCCAUCGCACAUAUUUUCCCGUAUGGCGAAUUGGCGCGCAAGCACAAAUGCAGUGUGGAUAAGGUAAAUCGAGCCUUGAUUGCCGUUGUGCUUGAUCCGCUGAUGAAGAGAAUUGAGGGCCAGGACAGUUGUGGAAACGGCAACGAGGAAGAGGAGGUAGAGCAUGCUCAGACUGCUCUGUCAGAAACAUGGGGUUCUCCCAAUACUCUGAUCAACAAGUGGAACCAACAGUAUCAAGAAAUGGUGUCUGAGCUGCAGAGAGAAAGCGAAGGGAAAAGCCUGCCUAUGGAAUUCGAGCAGAUUCUUAUUGCGGCAUCGGGGAAUGCGGAAGCUUAUUGGA
Molecule: small RNA, 425 nt
Filed under: Histoplasma capsulatum var. duboisii H88
Lineage: Eukaryota; Fungi; Ascomycota; Eurotiomycetes; Onygenales; Ajellomycetaceae
Description: Histoplasma capsulatum H88 hypothetical RNA
Source: RNAcentral